AACGCGAAGAACCUUACCAGGUCUUGACAUCCUUUGACCACGCCAGAAAUGGCGCUUUCCCUUCGGGGACAAAGUGACAGGUGGUGCAUGGUUGUCGUCAGCUCGUGUCGUGAGAUGUUGGGUUAAGUCCCGCAACGAGCGCAACCCUUAUUACUAGUUGCCAGCAUUCAGUUGGGCACUCUAGUGAGACUGCCGGUGACAAACCGGAGGAAGGUGGGGAUGACGUCAAAUCAUCAUGCCCCUUAUGACCUGGGCUACACACGUGCUACAAUGGCAAGUACAACGAGUCGCUAACCCGCGAGGGUACGCAAAUCUCUUAAAGCUUGUCUCAGUUCGGAUUGUAGGCUGCAACUCGCCUACAUGAAGUCGGAAUCGCUAGUAAUCGCGGAUCAGCACGCCGCGGUGAAUACGUUCCCGGGUCUUGUACACACCGAACAG
This 438-nucleotide ribosomal RNA is filed under the name uncultured Weissella sp. Its description in RNAcentral is "bacterial SSU rRNA". It matches the Rfam family "Bacterial small subunit ribosomal RNA", at positions 958 to 1397 of the family's 1533-position model. Lineage: Bacteria; Bacillati; Bacillota; Bacilli; Lactobacillales; Lactobacillaceae. The record is from RNAcentral.